This 808-nucleotide ribosomal RNA is filed under the name uncultured bacterium. RNAcentral describes it as "bacterial SSU rRNA". It matches the Rfam family "Bacterial small subunit ribosomal RNA", at positions 8 to 827 of the family's 1533-position model. The record is from RNAcentral.
AGAGUUUGAUCAUGGCUCAGAGUGAACGCUGGCGGCGUGCCUAACACAUGCAAGUCGAACGAGAACGGAUAUAAGUUUACUUAUAUUGUCAGCUAAGUGGCGCACGGGUGAGUAAUAUAUAGUUAAUCUGCCCUGAAGAAGAGAAUAAUUGUUGGAAACGACUUGUAAUGCUCUAUAUGCCUUUAUCACAUAAGUGAGCAAGGGAAAUAUUUAUAGCUUCGGGAUGAGACUGUACGGUAUCAGCUAGUUGGUGAGGUAAUGGCUCACCAAGGCUAUGACAUCUAACUGGUUUGAGAGGAUGAUCAGUCACACUGGAACUGAGACACGGUCCAGACUCCUACGGGAGGCAGCAGUGGGGAAUAUUGCACAAUGGAGGAAACUCUGAUGCAGCAACGCCGCGUGGAGGAUGACACAUUUCGGUGCGUAAACUCCUUUUAUUAGGGAAGAUAAUGACGGUACCUAAUGAAUAAGCACCGGCUAACUCCGUGCCAGCAGCCGCGGUAAUACGGGGGGUGCAAGCGUUACUCGGAAUCACUGGGCGUAAAGAGCAUGUAGGCUGAUUAGUAAGUUGGAAGUGAAAUCCUAUGGCUCAACCAUAGAACUGCUUCCAAAACUGCUUAUCUAGAGUAUGGGAGAGGUAGAUGGAAUUUCUGGUGUAGGGGUAAAAUCCGUAGAGAUCAGAAGGAAUACCGAUUGCGAAGGCGAUCUACUGGAACAUUACUGACGCUGAGAUGCGAAAGCGUGGGGAGCAAACAGGAUUAGAUACCCUGGUAGUCCACGCCCUACACGAUGCACACUAGUUGUUGCU